RNAcentral lists this long non-coding RNA (1719 nucleotides) under Homo sapiens (human). Its description in RNAcentral is "non-protein coding lnc-SIK2-2:1". Lineage: Eukaryota; Metazoa; Chordata; Mammalia; Primates; Hominidae. The record is from RNAcentral.
GAUGUCAGAGUGCAAGGGGGCAUGGAAGGCGUGUUGCUAAAGAAAAUAUACUGCAAAAGGUCCCAUAAUUGUAUAAUGGCAAUAUACCCCGCAGGUGGCCGUUUACACAGAAUUUGCUGAAUCAGCAUUAUCCAUGUGACCAGUAUGAUAUUUUACUUUCAGCAGGCAUGUUCAAUAGACCCUUGAUGUUCAAUAAAUAUUCAUGAUUUUGACUAUAUGGAGCAACCUCCAAAAAUACAUUAUGUGUAAUGACUAGGAAGUUUACUGAGGCACAAACUGGAAUCGUGGCAUCGUGAGACUGGUAUACAGUUAUUCUUCUUAAAAUGUCAGCAGAUCUUAAUGAUUAAGCAGCUGAAUAAUGGCAAAACACCAUGUGUUUUGAAGCCAAAUCUGGCCUGGGGUAGCUCUGCCAGACGAAGGGUCUCAAGAAAGUAUUCUGGGAGAAUAUGAGGAGGAAAAGCCAAAAACUGAUAGACAGUGAAACAGAAAGUAUAAGAGAAUAAAAGUUGAUAAAUACCAAAGUAUAGAAACUCUGAUCUCUUCUUCCUGUUUCUCAGUAUUCUUGGCAUCGCUGAGGAAGCUAAGGGCACCACCAUGAUUGACAUACAGGGAAAAAACAAAAAACUCCAAUUACUGCUUAGGAGGGAGAACUAAUUCUACCCAAAGGAGGGAAGCACCAUCUGAAGCAUGUCAAACUUGGCCUGCAACCAAAUUCUGCCAUCGGGUGGAGUCUCUCCUUCCAUCUGGGUAAUAAGAAGUUGCAGAUGGAAAAAGCCUGCUGGACUACUGCAUGUACUAUAUGCCUCUUCUGUAAGAAAUCACCUUUAAAAAGAAAAGUUUCAAAGUUUAUCCAAUUUGGAUGGAGAACGGCAUUGCAAGAUAAGUAGUGGCUUUAAAGCAUGUCCAUACUUCUUUGACACUCCUCCCAUCAACAGGGGAAGUCUACUUCUUUUCCCCUUGAGCAUGAGCUAUUCAACUGGCUUGCUGCCAACAAACAGAAUGAGGAGGAAGUGAUACUGUGUGACUUCCAAGGCUAGGUCAUAAAAAAUUAUGCAGGUCUUGAGAUGCUUACUCUUGGAAGUCAGCCACCAUGCUAUAAGGAAGCCCAAGCCACAUAAAGAAGACACAUAGGUGUUCUGGCUGACAGCCCCAGCUGAGAUCUAGCCAAGAGCCAGCAUCCAGACAUAUGAGUGAGAAAGCCACUCAGCUGCCUCCAGCCCCAGCCACUAUCUGAUGGCUAAUGCAUUACAGAUCCUGAGUAAGAACUGGCCAGUUGAGCCCAUCAACUCCCAGAACCACGAGAAGAAACAAUAAUCAACUAUUGUUGUUUUACGCCACUAAGUAUGGAUGACUGUUACACAGCAAUAGCUGGAACAAAUGCUUCUGGCUAAUUUGCCCUUUACAGUAAUCACUCCAGUCGUCUUAUCUUCCAUAGAGAAAUAGUUCUGCUUAUGCUGGAGCUAAGGGCUGGCUCCCUUCAACCAGAUUACUCUCUACAACAUAGGACAAAAAUGAAUAUAAGUGCAAUGGACUCUGUAGGCCUCAGAGCUGCUGGGUUCACCUCUUAGAGGGUAAAAGGAGAGCCAUGGUCUUAGUAAAGUCCCCAGAACAGCUAAAGUUCAGUGGCCACUGAGAAUCCUACGUAGGCACUGAAAGAACAUAAUAAGCGUAUAUGAUAUCAGCACAGUCCCCAACUUGCCCUUUGACUAGAAAAGGCCC